UCAACGAUUGUAAAGUGGUGAGUAUCUCCGCCUGUUACGUGGAAGGGCCGGGUUCGAUUCCCAGUCGAGGAG
Molecule: transfer RNA, 72 nt
Filed under: Trichobilharzia regenti
Lineage: Eukaryota; Metazoa; Platyhelminthes; Trematoda; Strigeidida; Schistosomatidae
Rfam family: tRNA
About the family: Transfer RNA (tRNA) molecules are approximately 80 nucleotides in length.
Source: Rfam by way of RNAcentral